ACCAGGUAUAACAGUGGUAAGGUGUUGGGACUCUGCUGAUAACCAGGUCUAACAGUGGAAAGGUGUUGGGACUCUGCUGUUGGGACUCUGCUGCUGGGACUCUGCUGAUAACCAGGUAUAACAGUGGUAAGGUGUUGGGACUCUGUUGAUAACCAGGUAUAACAGUGGUAAGGUGUUGGGACUCUGCUGAUAACCAGGUAUAACAGUGGUAAGGUGUUGGGACUCUGCUGUUGGGACUCUGCUGAUAACCAGGUAUAACAGUGGUAAGGUGUUGGGACUCUGCUGAUAACCAGGUAUAACAGUGGUAAGGUGUUGGGACUCUGCUGAUAACCAGGUAUAACAGUGGUAAGGUGUUGGGACUCUGCUGAUAACCAGGUGUAACAGUGGUAAGGUGUUGGGACUCUGCUGAUAACCAGGUGUAACAGUGGUAAGGUGUUGGGACUCUGCUGAUAACCAGGUAUAACAGUGGUAAGUUGUUGGGACUCUGCUGUUGGGACUCUGUUGAUAACCAGGUAUAACAGUGGAAAGGUGUUGGGACUCUGCUGUUGGGACUCUGUU
Oncorhynchus tshawytscha (Chinook salmon) is the source of this 558-nucleotide long non-coding RNA. The record is from Ensembl. NCBI's taxonomy places the organism in Eukaryota, Metazoa, Chordata, Actinopteri, Salmoniformes, Salmonidae.